Molecule: non-coding RNA, 105 nt
Organism: Cricetulus griseus (Chinese hamster)
Lineage: Eukaryota; Metazoa; Chordata; Mammalia; Rodentia; Cricetidae
Source: Rfam
AUUGCAAUGAUACAGGGAGGAUUAAAAUUGCAAUGAUACAGGGAGGAUUAAGCAUGGCCCCUGCGAAAGGAUGACGUGCAAAUUCGUGAAGCACAAAGAGAGAGA